GCUCCUUUAGCUCAGUUGGUUAGAGCGUCGUGCUAAUAACGCGAAGGUCAUAAGUUCGAUCCUUAUAAGGAGCA
RNAcentral lists this transfer RNA (74 nucleotides) under Rhizophagus irregularis DAOM 181602=DAOM 197198. Its description in RNAcentral is "tRNA-Ile (AAT) (tRNA-Ile-AAT-1-1)". It matches the Rfam family "tRNA". From Rfam's summary of the family: Transfer RNA (tRNA) molecules are approximately 80 nucleotides in length. The record is from RNAcentral. Lineage: Eukaryota; Fungi; Glomeromycota; Glomeromycetes; Glomerales; Glomeraceae.